UACGUAGGGUGCAAGCGUUGUCCGGAAUUACUGGGCGUAAAGGGCGCGUAGGCGGUUUGCUAAGUUGGAUGUGAAAACUCUGGGCUUAACCCAGAGCCUGCAUCCAAAACUGGCAAACUUGAGUACUGGAGGGGAAAGCGGAAUUCCUGGUGUAGCGGUGAAAUGCGUAGAUAUCAGGAGGAACACCGGUGGCGAAGGCGGCUUUCUGGACAGUAACUGACGCUGAGGCGCGAAAGCUAGGGGAGCAAACAGG
RNAcentral lists this ribosomal RNA (253 nucleotides) under uncultured bacterium. RNAcentral's name for it is "partial 16S ribosomal RNA". It matches the Rfam family "Bacterial small subunit ribosomal RNA", at positions 524 to 776 of the family's 1533-position model. The record is from RNAcentral.